UAAGCUAAUAAGAAGCACUCCCCCAUGGUC
Molecule: non-coding RNA, 30 nt
Filed under: Mus musculus (house mouse)
Lineage: Eukaryota; Metazoa; Chordata; Mammalia; Rodentia; Muridae
Source: RNAcentral